UACAGAGGGUGCAAGCGUUAAUCGGAAUUACUGGGCGUAAAGCGUGCGUAGACGGUUAUGUAAGUCAGAUGUGAAAGCCCCGGGCUCAACCUGGGAAUUGCAUUUGAGACUGCAUAGCUAGGGUGCGGAAGAGGGAAGCGGAAUUCCCAGUGUAGACGGUGAAAUGCGUAGAUAUUGGGAGGAACACCAGUGGCGAAGGCG
RNAcentral lists this ribosomal RNA (201 nucleotides) under uncultured bacterium. RNAcentral describes it as "partial 16S ribosomal RNA". It matches the Rfam family "Bacterial small subunit ribosomal RNA", at positions 524 to 723 of the family's 1533-position model. The record is from RNAcentral.